UGACGGUACCACUUGAAUAAGCUCCGGCUAACUACGUGCCAGCAGCCGCGGUAAUACGUAGGGAGCAAGCGUUAUCCGGAUUUACUGGGUGUAAAGGGCGUGUAGGCGGGACUACAAGUCAGAUGUGAAAGCACGGGGCUCAACUCCGUGUCUGCAUUUGAAACUGCAGUUCUUGAGUGUUGGAGAGGCUAACGGAAUUCCUAGUGUAGCGGUGAAAUGCGUAGAUAUUAGGAGGAACACCAGUGGCGAAGGCGGUUAGCUGGACAAUAACUGACGCUGAGGCGCGAAAGCGUGGGUAGCAAACAGGAUUAGAUACCCUG
RNAcentral lists this ribosomal RNA (320 nucleotides) under uncultured bacterium. RNAcentral's name for it is "bacterial SSU rRNA". It matches the Rfam family "Bacterial small subunit ribosomal RNA", at positions 470 to 789 of the family's 1533-position model. The record is from RNAcentral.